UUCUUGGUAAACAAAGAUGCUGCGUCAACCCAGGACUGAGGUUCCAAACAAUCUCGCCGUCUGACCAGUGACACUCAGACCUGCAGAUAACAAACCAGUCAAGGCCAGGACCAACAGGAGGUCUGAAAAGCACAGGCCUUCACCUUUCCUCAGCUGAUCAGCAGGAAGAAGCAGCACCGUUUAGUGUGAAUGUCUGCUUGCCUGCUGGCUUCCUCCCCCACUACCACGAAGGAGCCCGAGGAGGCCAGCACUCUGUGCUACUCACUUCCCCCAGUGUAGACAGGACUUGGCACAUGGCUUCUGGUUGCUUGGAACGGAAUCUUAGCUUUGCCACUUGAAGUAUUUCAGAAAGGCUUGAUUCCUUCACCAGGGGAGAUGUGGUGGAAGUCACAGACGCACUUGGAUGUAUGAGGAAUCUACGAGAAGGUGCCAGAGAGGAGGCUGUGUGGGACCCUGGGUGAAUGCCAGUCAAUCGGAAUUUUUAUCUGGAAACCUCCCUGUGAUUUGGAAACGAAGCUAGAAGCCAAGAGUUCUUGGCAAUGAGCAAGCUUUUCUGUUUUGGGGUACAAUUAUUUGGAUAUUUAAAAUAUCAGAAGGUCACAAGAAGAACGCUUUAUGGAGGUAGACACACUUGCAAUUGUGAAGUUCCCGUGUUCCGGAGGUGGAAAGAUGUCAGAGAGGGUCUUUGGAGCUCAAACACCAUCGCCUUUUAUUGUCUGUGAGCUUUGGGGAAACUUGCUGGCCAAGUCCCUGUGUCCUCACCUGGAAAACCGGCGGCUGUGUUGACUGAAUAAGUGAAGUCCAGUGGGACAAUGGAACAUGCCUGGGAACAGAGGAGAUGCUUAAAAUAACGGACACAGCCUCCCAUGGAGCAUUCACGAUGCCCCCGAACACAGAAUUCAGUUGCACCCGCGAUGCAUGAAGUUCAGCGAGACUCAGAGUGAAGCUCAAGGCAUUUUUGAUUCAUCUGGGAGAAGAGGCACUGCCUCUUUCUUUGGAUGCUGUGAUAGAUGGUGGUGUCACCAGGAACUGAUGUAGCAUUUUGUUACUGUAUGAUAGAAACCGGUCAGAGGACAAAACAAACAGAGCAUCAGGGCCGAUUCAGCAGAACACAAUUUGGGAAGCAUGAAAACAGGACAGCACCAAGAGGCCUAGUCGUGCUUUUCCCUGCCCAGCUGACCCUCCAGGACUUCAAACACUGACUGCGUACUCAGAUGUCUAUUUCCAGCCUGCCCUUCUCUGUCACUGUCCAUACUUUUACCAGGGAGGGCUCUUCCUGGAUUUAUCACUUGACUGCUGCCUUCCAGGACGCUCACCUGCAACUUCUCUGGAGUGAAAGAGACAGAACAUGCUGUUCUGGUGCUCGCUGUGCAGGAGCCCUGUCCAAUCUCCUGCUCUUCCAAUUGGACCUCUGUCCCCUCCGGGGGAUUCAGCAGUGCGUUUUUAAAGGGGAUCCAGCGCUGUCACCUGCCCGAUCUUGAUCAGCUAUUGCGGGUCAGCACUGGUUGCCAGAAUGCAAAAUAAAUGGCAGGAAGGAAAUUAACAGCAGGGCAAACUACACACCUUGAUGCAUCUCUUCCACACAGCUGGUUCUGGAGCCUCCAUUGGUGGAGAACACGCAUGUUAUCAAAUGAAGCUUAGAAGGAGGGCUAUCAAGUUUCCGGUUUAUUCCCCAGGUACUUUAUGGCCCAGACUGCCUUCUGGAUCAGGAAGAUACUGGAAGCUGUAAAACGCACAAAGCCAGGCUUUGUUGUCGCGUGAGCGUGUCCAAGGACCCUGGCCCUGAGUGUUGCCACCACGUGGCCCUGUCACGUGCUCCUCUGUUUUCCCCACUCCUCUUUCCGGGUCCAUCCCUGGAGAGAGGAUGGAAGAAGCCGGAGUGAAACCUGGCCGCCUGGGCCAGCUGCCCAUGCACGGAGGUGAGAGGCCGUGCUUCUCUGG
Long non-coding RNA from Myotis myotis, 1941 nucleotides. RefSeq lists it as uncharacterized. NCBI's taxonomy places the organism in Eukaryota, Metazoa, Chordata, Mammalia, Chiroptera, Vespertilionidae. The record is from RefSeq and is a predicted model, not a curated record. The transcript is spliced from 13 exons.